This 404-nucleotide ribosomal RNA is filed under the name Bacillota bacterium. RNAcentral describes it as "Firmicutes bacterium partial 16S ribosomal RNA". It matches the Rfam family "Bacterial small subunit ribosomal RNA", at positions 355 to 776 of the family's 1533-position model. Lineage: Bacteria; Bacillati; Bacillota. The record is from RNAcentral.
UGGGGAAUAUUGGACAAUGGGCGCAAGCCUGAUCCAGCCAUGCCGCGUGAGUGAUGAAGGCCCUAGGGUUGUAAAGCUCUUUUGUGCGGGAAGAUAAUGACGGUACCGCAAGAAUAAGCCCCGGCUAACUUCGUGCCAGCAGCCGCGGUAAUACGAAGGGGGCUAGCGUUGCUCGGAAUUACUGGGCGUAAAGGGUGCGUAGGCGGGUCUUUAAGUCAGAGGUGAAAUUCUGGAGCUCAACUCCAGAACUGCCUUUGAUACUGAGGAUCUUGAGUUCGGGAGAGGUGAGUGGAACUGCGAGUGUAGAGGUGAAAUUCGUAGAUAUUCGCAAGAACACCAGUGGCGAAGGCGGCUCACUGGCCCGAUACUGACGCUGAGGCACGAAAGCGUGGGGAGCAAACAGG